AUACGAGGGGUGCAAGCGUUAUUCGGAAUUAUUGGGCGUAAAGGGUGUGUAGGCGGUUUGUUAAGUUUGUUGUUAAAUUCUUCAGCCUAACUGAAGAUCAGCAGCGAAAACUGACAGACUAGAGGAUGGAAGAGAGAAGUGGAAUUCCCGGAGUAGCGGUAAUAUGCGUAGAUCUCGAGAGGAACACCGAUGGCGAAGGCAGCUUCUUGGGCCAUUCCUGACGCUGAGACACGAAAGCGUGGGGAGCAAACAGGAUUAGAAACCCGGGUAGUCC
This 274-nucleotide ribosomal RNA is filed under the name uncultured bacterium. RNAcentral's name for it is "partial 16S ribosomal RNA". It matches the Rfam family "Bacterial small subunit ribosomal RNA", at positions 523 to 796 of the family's 1533-position model. The record is from RNAcentral.